GACGAACGCUGGCGGCGUGCCUAAUACAUGCAAGUCGAACGAACCGCGACUAAGUGCUUGCACUAAGUCAAGGUGAGUGGCGAACGGGUGAGUAACACGUGGGUAACCUACCUCAUAGUGGGGGAUAACAGUCGGAAACGACUGCUAAUACCGCAUAGGACAUAGGAUCACAUGAUCCAGUGAGGAAAGGUGGCGCAAGCUAUCGCUAAGAGAUGGACCCGCGGUGCAUUAGCUAGUUGGUAGGGUAAAGGCCUACCAAGGCGAUGAUGCAUAGCCGACCUGAGAGGGUGAUCGGCCACAUUGGGACUGAGACACGGCCCAAACCCCUACGGGAGGCAGCAGUAGGGAAUCUUCCGCAAUGGACGCAAGUCUGACGGAGCAACGCCGCGUGAGUGAAGAAGGUCUUCGGAUCGUAAAGCUCUGUUGUUAGAGAAGAACAGCGCAUAGAGUAACUGCUAUGCGUGUGACGGUAGCUAACCAGAAAGCCACGGCUAACUACGUG
RNAcentral lists this ribosomal RNA (502 nucleotides) under uncultured bacterium. Its description in RNAcentral is "partial 16S ribosomal RNA". It matches the Rfam family "Bacterial small subunit ribosomal RNA", at positions 28 to 507 of the family's 1533-position model. The record is from RNAcentral.